AUCGYGUCGCUCCCACCACGCCUCCUYGAUGGGGAUGCUUGGAUGUGGGCGGAGAUUGGUCUCCCGUUCCUAUGGUGCGGUUGGCUAAAACAGGAGUCCCCUUCGACGGACGCACGAUUAGUGGUGGUUGACAAGACCCUCUUAUCAAGUUGUGCGUUCUAAGGAGUAAGGAAUAUCUCUUCAAUGACCCCAAUGUGUCGUCCUGUGACGAUGCUUCGACC
RNAcentral lists this unclassified non-coding RNA (221 nucleotides) under Ligularia lamarum. Lineage: Eukaryota; Viridiplantae; Streptophyta; Magnoliopsida; Asterales; Asteraceae. The record is from RNAcentral.